UGUUUUUAAACAAAGCCUGUGGUAACUUGUUAUAGUAUUAACAGAAAACUAAUACACACUCCUCAUUCAGUGUGGGCCCUACAACCCACACCAGGCCACCUGUCAAGGGAACGCUUACCUUGAUCUGUCCCACUUAAUAGCUUUAGGCCUGAUUUGUUCAGAAAGAGAAAUGACGGAAAUAGACGGAGAAAGGGAAGGGGAAGUUCUGACAUGUUUCUGAACACCUUGAAAGGGAUGAGAUUUCUGAGCCCAAGGGCUCAGAAGGGCUUUCAAGAUAUCUCUAGGAAUCCUCAGUCUCUUGGGAACACCAGUAGUUAUUUUCUGCCCUCAGAGUGCUAAGAACAUGCAUGGUCCACAAAACUUCCAAAAAGGAAAGCUGUACUUCCUUUGGAAGCAAUAGCCACAUUAACGCAGCCUUUAUUAUUUAAACAACGAAUAUCCCUGGCUCUGUGGUAGUGACCAUUUCCCACUGUAAUUACCGUUGAACGCCAGCUCUGGGGGUGUGAUGUGGCGAACGCAUAGUGAGGUCCACACUCCUUGGGACCGCAGCCUGAGUUCCUGUCCAAAGGCUUCCCUGUAGCUGGGUCCACCCACAGGCUGCUGUUGAGCGGUAGGUGUGUGUGGAGACUGCAGAAACAGGAAGUGUUUGUGAAAGAGCACGCUUUAUUGGGAAGCAGACUGCUGCACAGUGACCAACAGGCCACCCAAUGGGCACUUACACAUCGUACUCCAAAAGACACAGGAUGUUUUGCUAAUAAAAAUCAGUGGGAACAGGGAUUCCUCUGGGCAACUCCCCCAACCUCAUCCCUUUCAGGGAUUGAGAAAUCUCCCAACCAUUUUCCUGAUGACAGCCAUGGUUCAUUAGAGAUACAGCCCCUCAGGGGUGCCUUCCUGUUUCUUAUAAAGAACAUUUUCUUUAGAUUUUUUGAAGUCUUCAUUUGUUACUUUCAUUCUACGUUCUCUUAAGGCCAUCAGACCAGCUUCUGUACAGAUUGCCUGUAAGAAAGAAGAGUGUGUUCAGAAAGUGACAUACUCAUUUUUAUUCUAACAAGGAAUUCCAAAAAACCUAUUCUGAGGCCAGGCGCGGUGGCUCACACCUGUAAUCCCAGCACUCUGGGAGGCCGAGGCAGGUGGAUCGCCUAAGGUCAGGAGUUCAAGACCAGCCUGGCCAACACGGUGAAACCCCAUCUCUACUAAAAAUACAAAAAGUUAGCCAGGGACGGUGGCAGGCACCUGUAAUCCUAGCUACUCGGGAGGCUGAGGCAGGAGAAUUGCUUGAACCCGGGAGGCAGAGGUUACAGUGAGCCGAGAUCGCGCCACUGCACUCUAGCCUGAGCAACGAGCGAAACUCUACCUCAAAAAAAAAAAAAAAAAAAUCUGUUCUGAAAUAAAGCAUGAGACACCUAGACUAAACACAAAUUGCUUAUUUGGGAAAGAUUUGAUUUUUAAAAAAAAUGUUUUAAGCAUCCUAUUUUCUGAAAGGAUGUGAAGUGGCUUAAACUGGGAGUUACUGUAACUAAGACUGACCCAAGGGUCAGGGCUGUGGGUUCUAGUUUUGGCUCAGGUUCUAACAAGCUAUGUGGCUUGUACAACACCACUUUUGUUAAAGAGAAUAAUAUUCCUAGGAAAUAAACAAAAUUAUGCCCUGAAACUUAGAGGCAAUUGACAGUAUAUGUCUAUUUCAUUUACUUAUAGUCAUAAAAGAACAUGUAUUCUGGUUAGAUACUGUAAGUGGCAGUAUCUAUACUAUGGAAUAAUACUACAGAGUAUAGCAUUUAUUCCAAUAUAUUUAAUUUCUCAGUAAUUACUGGCCCAAAGUAAAAGAAAACAAUAACCCAUGUUACAUGGGUUACUGUUAUUGUUUUAGGCCUGAUCUGUUUAGAAAGGAAAGAGAAAUGAAGGAAAUAGAUAGAGAAGGACAGCAAACAAACAUAUUAUGUGGGUUACUGUUAUUGUUUUCUUUUUCUUUUGGCCAGUAAUUACUGUGGCAAAAACAAGAUGUGGCAAAAAACACAAUCCUGGCACAGAAGUUUGUUUGGUGAUGGCCAUCAGGUUAUUUACUUCAAAUGGUUCGGGUGAAAAGAAAGUUUUGUGUAUAGAAAGAGAAAAAGCAAACAGGUAAAAUGUUAACUCUUGGCAAAUCACUGUGCUAUUGUUGCAACUUUUUUGAAGGCUUGAAAAUUGUCAAAGUAAGUUCUUAUCUUAAAAUUUUAAGAUCUUUCAAUUUUUAAAAAAGAAGAUAGAUUUUACUUGCCAACAGAGACAUCUAGUUCUCUAGGACUAACUGCCAAUGAUCCGUGGGCUCAGGGCAGGUGCUGGCCUGGAAAGGCACUGCUUGUGCUGUCCCUACCUAACCAUGGCAUUUAUGCCCAACGAAAACCCAGCUCUUUCCAGGAAAAGCAGGUAGAACCCAUAUUCAACGCUGCCAG
This 2429-nucleotide long non-coding RNA is filed under the name Homo sapiens (human). RNAcentral describes it as "long non-coding RNA NONHSAT234473". Lineage: Eukaryota; Metazoa; Chordata; Mammalia; Primates; Hominidae. The record is from RNAcentral.